AAUAAUACCAUUCGUUUACAGUUUCAAAUUACUACAUCCAUAAAAUAUAUACCAAAAUGUCUAUAUAUACAUCUCAAAUUCACUUUUCAAUCCACAAAAUAAACCACAAUAAACCAAACUAUUCAUAAAAUUUAGCUACUACCUAAGCAUGUGCAAAAAAGCCUAAGUUCUCCCAAAAUACGCCAGUAACUUUUGCUCUAGCACUAGCCAUGGAUGGCAGUAACUUUUGCUCUAUCACUAAUAGAUUCUUGAGAUAAGGUUAACCUACUUCUGUUGCUUCUGCUACACUGCUUCUGUUGCUGCGACACACUUCUUGCUGCUGUUUGUAGCGAAGUGCUGCUGCCAAACAUUUAUAAACUGUUGUGACAUUUAUAAACAUUUUGUUAUCACAGAUGCCGACAGAUGAUGCCUACCUAAAUAUCAAGCUUGACUACAAGCCUGCUAUUAAAUGGAUAAAUGUUGCAGUGAUAGUCCCAAUCUGUCAAGCUUAACAUGAUGGAUGGUUGAUAACUCUUGAUCCCAAUUUCUCAAUACAGUUGUUAUAGACAACUAUUGCAUUGAUUAGAAAAGAGGUACUCAAUAAAGACCACUCCACAUUGGCACUUAAAAGAUAUGCAUGAAACACCAAUAAAUUAGAAUGAAAACUGAGAGAGAUUCCUGCAACUUUGAGAUUCAGAAAAUUUGCUUCAACGCAUACAAACUGGAAAAACAGACCAAAGAGAUACAAAUAAAAAAUGUCCUAGGAGCAGCUGUGGAUGCUAUUACCAAUGUUCGUCAUUAAUACUUAUUCAAGUAG
RNAcentral lists this long non-coding RNA (796 nucleotides) under Panax ginseng (ginseng). RNAcentral describes it as "long non-coding RNA (PGIN_LNC000811)". Lineage: Eukaryota; Viridiplantae; Streptophyta; Magnoliopsida; Apiales; Araliaceae. The record is from RNAcentral.